AGUGAACGCUGGCGGUAGGCCUAACACAUGCAAGUCGAACGGCAGCACAGUAAGAGCUUGCUCUUACGGGUGGCGAGUGGCGGACGGGUGAGGAAUACAUCGGAAUCUACUUUUUCGUGGGGGAUAACGUAGGGAAACUUACGCUAAUACCGCAUACGACCUACGGGUGAAAGCAGGGGAUCUUCGGACCUUGCGCGAUUGAAUGAGCCGAUGUCGGAUUCGCUAGUUGGCGGGGUAAAGGCCCACCAAGGCGACGAUCCGUAGCUGGUCUGAGAGGAUGAUCAGCCACACUGGAACUGAGACACGGUCCAGACUCCUACGGGCGGCAGCAGUGGGGAAUAUUGGACAAUGGGCGCAAGCCUGAUCCAGCCCUACCGCGUGGGUGAAGAAGGCCUUCGGGUUGUAAAGCCCUUUUGUUGGGAAAGAAAAGCAGCAGGUUAAUACCCCGCUGUUCUGACGGUACCCAAAGAAUAAGCACCGGCUAACUUCGUG
RNAcentral lists this ribosomal RNA (492 nucleotides) under uncultured bacterium. RNAcentral describes it as "partial 16S ribosomal RNA". It matches the Rfam family "Bacterial small subunit ribosomal RNA", at positions 29 to 507 of the family's 1533-position model. The record is from RNAcentral.